GAUGAACGCUGACAGAAUGCUUAACACAUGCAAGUCUUUGGCGAAGCUGUGCUUGCACAGCCUAGCCAAGGCGGACGGGUGAGUAACGCGUAAGGAACUUGCCCUGCAGUCAGGGAUAACAGACGGAAACGACUGAUAAGACCUGGUAAAGUCAGGCGGACUCAUGUCCAGCCUGAUGAAAAGAGAUGCUGCAGGAGAGCCUUGCGUCCUAUUAGCUUGUUGGUGGGGUAACGGCCCACCACGGCGAUGAUAGGUAGCCGGCCUGAGAGGGUGGACGGCCACAAGGGGACUGAGAGACGGCCCUUACGCCUACGGGAGGCAGCAGUGGGGAAUAUUGGACAAUGGGGGCAACCCUGAUCAAGCAAUUCUGUGUGCACGAUGAAGGUUUUCGGAGUGUAAAGUGCUUUCAGAAGGGAAGAAAAAAAUGACGGUACCUGCAGAAGAAGCGACGGCUAAAUACGUG
Molecule: ribosomal RNA, 463 nt
Filed under: uncultured bacterium
Lineage: Bacteria
Description: partial 16S ribosomal RNA
Rfam family: Bacterial small subunit ribosomal RNA
Source: RNAcentral